AGCUCAGUUGGUAGAGCAGAGGACUGAA
Molecule: transfer RNA, 28 nt
Filed under: Acilepis sutepensis
Lineage: Eukaryota; Viridiplantae; Streptophyta; Magnoliopsida; Asterales; Asteraceae
Description: partial tRNA-Phe
Source: RNAcentral